GCCGUGGUGGCUGAGUGGUAAGGCACCUGAUUGCUAAUCAGCGGUUUCCUUCACGGGAAGACAGGUUCGAUCCCUGUUCACGGCGCCA
This 88-nucleotide transfer RNA is filed under the name Butyrivibrio sp. Its description in RNAcentral is "tRNA-Ser". It matches the Rfam family "tRNA". From Rfam's summary of the family: Transfer RNA (tRNA) molecules are approximately 80 nucleotides in length. Their secondary structure includes four short double-helical elements and three loops (D, anti-codon, and T loops). RNAcentral also lists the same sequence under 1 other name. The record is from RNAcentral. Lineage: Bacteria; Bacillati; Bacillota; Clostridia; Lachnospirales; Lachnospiraceae.